Molecule: ribosomal RNA, 715 nt
Filed under: Glomus sp. rp6
Lineage: Eukaryota; Fungi; Glomeromycota; Glomeromycetes; Glomerales; Glomeraceae
Description: eukaryotic LSU rRNA
Rfam family: Eukaryotic large subunit ribosomal RNA
Source: RNAcentral
AAAGAAAAUAACAAUGAUUCCCUUAGUAACGGCGAGUGAAGGGGGAAAAGCUCAAAUUUUAAAUCUGCUAGGUUUUACCUGUCAGAAUUGUAAUUUGAAGAAGCGUUUUCCGCGUCUCGGUUGACCCAAAUCCUUUGGGAUGAGGUAUCAUGGAGGGUGAGAAUCCCGUUCGGUUUACCUUAUGACGUUUUACGAUACGCUUUCUAAGAGUCGAGUUGUUUGGGAUUGCAGCUCAAAAUGGGAGGUAAAUUUCUCCUAAGGCUAAAUAUCGGCGAGAGACCGAUAGCGAACAAGUACCGUGAGGGAAAGAUGAAAAGAACUUUGAAAAGAGAGUAAAAUAGUACGUGAAAUUGUUGAAAGGGAAACGAUUGAAGUCAGUCGUACCGACGAGAAAUCAACUUAUUGUGUGCGAACUUGUGGGCGUGCGUGAGUUUCGGCCUCGCUGUUUGCAUGUUUGUGCGUUUUGGGUGUACUUUUUCGUAUGGUAGGCCAACAUCAGUUUCGAUUACUAUAAAAUGACCGGCGGAAUGUAGCUUCGAUUUCGGUUGAAGUGUUAUAGCCUCUGGUAGAUGUGGUGAUUGGGACUGAGGAUUGCAACGAAUAUCCUUUGGGCUAUCCGUCUGAUCUCUGAAAGUUGCUCAGGUGCCGAAAGCAUGCUUACGGUCAUCUAAGUUGACGGUCAAAAGGUUAGAAGCGUGAUUACAUUCGUUAAGGA